This 497-nucleotide ribosomal RNA is filed under the name uncultured bacterium. RNAcentral's name for it is "partial 16S ribosomal RNA". It matches the Rfam family "Bacterial small subunit ribosomal RNA", at positions 28 to 507 of the family's 1533-position model. The record is from RNAcentral.
GAUGAACGCUGGCGGCGUGCCUAAUACAUGCAAGUCGAGCGAACGGACGAGAAGCUUGCUUCUCUGAUGUUAGCGGCGGGCGGGUGAGUAACACGUGGAUAACCUACCUAUAAGACUGGGAUAACUUCGGGAAACCGGAGCUAAUACCGGAUAAUAUUUUGAACCGCAUGGUUCAAAAGUGAAAGACGGUCUUGCUGUCACUUAUAGAUGGAUCCGCGCUGCAUUAGCUAGUUGGUAAGGUAACGGCUUACCAAGGCAACGAUGCAUAGCCGACCUGAGAGGGUGAUCGGCCACACUGGAACUGAGACGCGGUCCAGACUCCUACGGGAGGCAGCAGUAGGGAAUCUUCCGCAAUGGGCGAAAGCCUGACGGAGCAACGCCGCGUGAGUGAUGAAGGUCUUCGGAUCGUAAAACUCUGUUAUUAGGGAAGAACAUAUGUGUAAGUAACUGUGCACAUCUUGACGGUACCUAAUCAGAAAGCCACGGCUAACUACGUG